AUGAUUGGUGUGAGUAACUCCACUAAAAAUGCAAAAUCAAAGCUUUUCAGGUACUCUGCAAUAAAAAUGCCAAAGUUAUUAUUUGGAGACUUCUUAUCAUUUCAAUUAAUUGUAAUUCAGGAGUGCGAUGGAGAUACACAGGGCAUCAAGAACUGACAAUUCAAGAGCUCAUAAUAAUAGAAGGCUAACGCUACCCAUUGAUUGCAUGGUUGAGGUUAUUUUGUGGAUAACCAGUUCAAAUCUAAGCAAACAGAACAUUUAAACACCAUCAUUUCGUUGAGGAAUGCGAGUGGGAGUAGCGCAAAUGACAUGGUGAAGGGGCCUAGCAUCACACGUGAGAAUGUGGCACUCUUGUGGGAGACUGAACAAGGCUACUGGUGAUUGAACAAAAAAUCAGGCCAGUCUGCUUAUCAGGUGGGUGACAUGUCUACUUGAAUGUGAAGCAAUGGUUAUUUUCUUUGAAAACUUUUCAUUUUUCUAUUACUAGUUUGGUGCAACCGAUAUGUGGACCACACUGAGUUUCGGAAGUUCAUAUUCGCAGUGGAACGUCAUGUUUACAUGAUUUGAGGUUUGCUAAGGAGGCACUCUCCCCUUCUGUCUCACUAUGUGAUGAUUUAGACUGUUCAUCUAGAAGUUCACACAAAAGAUGGUCCACACAUAGAAAAUCGUAAUUGUAUAAAAGCAACUUGAAACAAUGGUACAUAUGUUAUGGGACCUGGAAGAUGUCAUAUCAGUGAGAUUUCUAUCAUGUGGGCCAUAUGUUAUAGGACCUAGAUAUAUGGUUUGCUUCAUCAUAGCAUGGAGUGAACGGGCAAGCUAAUUUGGUGAUCCUUGCUAAUAUAUCUCAUUUAGUACUACACUGUCAAUAGAUUAAUAGUCAACUUCUCUAUUCUUUUUACUUUAUUUCGAACUCGUUUUCUUUUUCUUUUUUUUGCUGAUAUAUUUCUUAGACAUAUUCCAGUUCAUGUCGCAUUCUGUUGUAAGAAACUUUGGUUUUGAUUAUCACAGCCUAUCAAACAGUGUUGGAAGGAUGAUUGACAAUUGAUAACCUACUAGCAGCGGUAUCACAACUGCUUGUACCAUAACAGUUUUCCUGCCAACAUGCCACUUGUGUAGGAAAUCAUUACUAUGAAAAAAAUUUUGCCCUCCUUAUAAAAAAUUAGGCUGAUCAGAUAAAUAGGUGGGUUAAACCUGUAUGCUGAGUAAGACUGUCAUCUGUCCAUUGAUUCCAAUGGUAUGGCCCACCUGAUGAGCGGACUGGCCUGAUUUUUGUGCUCUUCUUGGUGAUGCCUACCAUUUUCCUAGUAUUGCUGCCUGUUAUAGACAAGCAGUAUGUACUACACUGGCGGGAUACAACACAAUAAGUUGUCGUACCUUACCUGUAGGUGAUCGGUUCUUGGGAUGAUUUCUUAAAUUGUUAUAUGGUGGUUUCUUAUUUCUGACAGAAGUUCAGGAUUAGAGGCAUGCUUAAGGUAGGCAGAGACAACAUCAAAUUUGUCUUUUCAAGCUAAUGGGGAAGGGAUCCUCAAACAAAGCAAAGUUCUUGGCUAUUAGAACUGAUGAGGAGCUUUCCGUGAAUUGAUAGCAGAUGGAGACUCUAUAAUGCUAUCUCUUAGGCCUCUAGGAGGUGCAUUCCUGCUUUGAAGCCGAAUCCUAUCUUGAAUGAAUUAAGGCACAUAUUCCACUCUUACAUCUUCUGCUCUAAAAUCAGGCCACCAACAAACAAGAUGAAUGGAUGAGUAGAAAAAGUUGUUUGAAUGGCCAAUUUACUUUAUACAUUGUGACCCACGUGAGUGAAACUGCCAAUUUUCAAGGUACAAAUCAUCUAAGGGUGUCUUGGAAUUUUUCCAAAGUUCUCUUUAGAAUUAUUUUUCAGUUCUGUUUUGGAUGAAUUGUUGAAAAGAAAACAGCCCAUCAUACUCCUCUGAGGGUCCUUACUCAUGUCUCGGUGGUAAACUCACAAGAGUCUCAACAUCAGGUCAUGGGUUUGAGUACCCAUUGUGGUGAAAUUCCAUUGUGGGGUGUGAGUGCGUGUGUAAAAAAAAAAAAUGUACUUGUCCUCUGGAAUUGUCAAUUGGUCCUAUGUAUUGUGAACUGAUUAACUUGAAUUCAUUGUCUAUCUUUUUCAUUCUUUUAGGAAAUAGUGAUUAUUUACGAGAACUGUUAUUUGGGAUUUCAUACUUCUGGAAUUGUGAUUUGUGAUUUUUGUUUUUGUAGACCCAAUCUGGUAAAAUUUAUUGCCUCUGUUGUUGUUAUUUUUGCAUUUGAUAAAGGCUACCUCAUUCUUAUUACAUUUUCAAUAAAGAGAAUUUAUUCUUUAUUUCCUAUUCCUAUCAAUUGAUGUUCGACAUGUGAUUUCAAAAAGAACAAAACCCUUUCACAAACUUCUUUUAUCAAAUCAAGAAUUGGAUUUUGUUUCUUGCUACCUGAUUUUGUAGGAAGGAUUCCCUUUGUUCUGUUCUUCUACAUUUUCAGUAAAUCUAGAACCCUCAAUUUAAAGAGCAUCUCUUCAAUUAUCCUACUUUCAACAUUCAUAAAGUGCGAAUUAGGUAAUAUGUGCUCAUUUGAGAUGUCUGAGUAAUGGAGAGAUUCUGUUACUGGAAAGAGUUUUGAGAUAGGGAAGAACAAGAUCAAGAUAGAGAGAUUGGAGAUUGCGGGUUAUAGGCAGAACACGUUCCUAAAUGAUGAACGAAAUCUUGAACAAAGUCAACUGUCAAUUCUAUAUGACACAAAUAUCUUGUUCACAUGUUUGCUCAUUAGAAAGUUUUUCAUCUUCGUUGGAUGGAGGUAAUUUCUUCUUCCUACAUCUUUUUUACGAAUGCUUAGAAUGGAAAUUGCGAUCUUGACUAGUUAUAGGGAAAUUUUUUCUAUGUUAUAGUUUUAGACUUCUUGUAUGUACUAAUCAUAUAUCCAGACAUCAUUAGUUUUCAGGAUUUCCUUUCGUUUUGAUUAUUUUCACAAUCUAUAUGUGUAUAUGUAAUAAGACACUAUGUUCUAGAAAAUUCAGUGUUCAACACCACCAACACUCAAUUUUCUUCUUACAUCUAGCAGUAUUCAUGUACUUUUUGUUUGGGUCAUAGUUUAACUAUUGGAAUACAUUUUCCUAUUUCUUAUGCAUAUAGUGUUUGGAACCAAGAGGGAUUAUAUGUUAAUAAAAACAUACUUUGAUUGACACCCAUUAUUAAAUACCAUGGCAGAGAAGUUUCUUAACUUUUUGGUAAAAACUGUGAUGAUGGAAUAUUACACUCUCCUCCACAAAAAACAUAAGAUACAUGCCGACCUGGUGAUAAUGGUUGGUGUCUAUCAGUAUGGAUUUUAAACUCUUAGUUCCAUAUUGACCCCAUAUGAGGUACCAUCUAAUAAAAAAACAUUCAAUGUCAUUAUACAUCUGUAAAGACAUGUGGGCAUGGUGGCUUUUCCACGACCUUGUGUCUAAUUCCGUAUUUCCUUGUUAGAGAAAAUACUGCUGCCCAUGUCCAAAAUAGGUAUACAUAUCUGUGUCCAUGUUGCAUUGUUGCAACAUUCUUGUUUGGUUACAGCCUACCCCUCUUUAAGUCCUGGAUUGUUUAAAAUGAGUAAGAUCUAUUCUAAUGGAAUGCUUUAUUCUUUUAGGCUUGUUUUCUUUCGGUGAUUUUAGUAGUCGUUGAAAGAUAUUCGAAGAUUAGUCUCUGAACAAGAUAAAAAAAGGUGAUAUGUUUAUCUUGUCUGCAAUUAGUAACAUAAUUACUCAUUAUGUAUUUGUCCGAUGAAAUGCAUUUAUGAAUACUGAAUUCUUUUCAAUUACUUGCAACAGGAGUGACCGAAUUAUGAAAGUUUGAUCAAGAUAUAUGCUGUUGUGUUUUGAUAUAGUCCUGCUGCUUCAUAUAUUCUCUUAUGAUUCCUUGUCUAAUGUUGUGUUUGUACAUAUCUCUUGACUGGCAUUGGCUCCAGAAAUCAUUCAGAAGGCAGGAUCAUAAGAUUGAUGUGAAAUCCUUUUUCUGAUGAAAGGUAAGAGUUAAAUUCAAUCACUAACCUAACAGGCAUGCUACCUGCAGACACCCAAUACAACUGUCUCAUGAAAAGUUGAAACAUAUACUGAUGAUCCAAGCCCUACAUCGCACUGGCCUCAUGAUGAAUGUGUCUUCACCUAGGAUUGUAUGUCUAUUCAUCAGGUGAGCCACACUUGUAUUGAGAAAAUGGAUAGUUAAAAGUCACCUUAUUAGUGGACUGACCAUAUUUUAAACCAGGAAGCUUUCACCAAGGGUUAGACCUGAUGAAUGGAUUGGAUCUCAUACAUGUAUGCCAUAUUGACACAUGUGAGGGGCCUUCUGUUUGUACUCUGCAGAAGUACAGAUACAGGAAGCAUUCAUCUUAACUCCAUCAAAUGAAAAUUUUCUAUACAUUGUCUAAUAUUUUCAAAUUUGUGUCUACUUUAUUUAUAUACUAUCUCCACUACAGCCAAAGAAUUGGGUUAUGUUCAUAGGAAUGUAUCAACUUGUAACUGUAACAUUCUCUAGAAGUUCAGUUAACAGUUAUAGCAUCACUGCCUUAUGUGUAGGAAUUGCAAAAUCGAUUACAGCUAUUGCAAGAAAUGCUCACUGAUAUGAAGUAUAGAUUGAGGGGCAUCAUUGUCUGCAGUUACCUAAUCAUGGCAACAUAUGGAAGCUUAAGUGAAGAUAUCGACUGAUAUCGACUUUCGGAUGGCUCAAUGGUACAUGCAUGGUUUUCUUAAUGCAUGUGGAUAAUAACUAGUUUUAGAGAAAAAAAAAAAAUUUAAUCCAAGUUACUGUUAUGUUACGGAGAUGCCGCAUACUUGGUGGAAUUUUCAUAUACAGAUCUGACCAAACUUCCAUUCAAUACAACAGCUUGGCUUAGAGAAGCUAGACUUGGUGCCUCUCAUCCAUGUUCAAGUCUCUGAGGGAAAAGGGGGAUACAAGUCGAAGUAAAGGUUGUCUACAGAAUACAUAUUGAUUGGAGAAUCUGAGCUACCUAAUUAAGCUUCACAGUCAGAUUAUGAAGACCGCACGUAUUCUCACAUCUAUCGCUUGUGGGUGAUUGUACAAAAAACAUGCGGAUAGGAGAAUCCUACCUAUCUGAUUUUCUCUAUUGAGUGUAGACGAUUGGCUAAAUUUUUACAACACCUGUUUGCUUGAACGUUGUUACUCAGAAAAAUAGGAUUUUCCGAUUGAUGUGAUAUUUAUACAGUUGCCUGUCAACCAUAGGGCUUAUAAGAUUGACAUACCAGAUAAUACACCCAUGAGCCGUGCAGGCCCAGUCAAGCAGUGGACCCAUAGGCAUAAGAUCAAGCUCCAAAUUGAAAAUGAGUCAAUAGGUCUCUUGUUUGUUAAGGGUGGGCAAUUUUGUCUUCAAAAGGGAUUCUUUAAAUUGAUCAUAGUUAUUCCUCAUCGCUUGUGAGUUCAUCAGCUAGCUAAGCUUCAUAAAUUGCUUUUGGGAAGGAAUGGUCACUUUGCUAGCUGUUUGUAGCUUUAUACAUGUGUUCAAUUAGAAAGACAAUGUAUGUAAAACAGAUCUGCAGUCUGACUCUUAUGCUUGUUACAAGUAACCAAACAGGUCUUAUGUGUGAUAUUUAUGUUAAGGAA
This is a long non-coding RNA of Magnolia sinica, 5579 nucleotides long. RefSeq lists it as uncharacterized. Lineage: Eukaryota; Viridiplantae; Streptophyta; Magnoliopsida; Magnoliales; Magnoliaceae. The transcript is spliced from 5 exons. The record is from RefSeq and is a predicted model, not a curated record.